Molecule: long non-coding RNA, 369 nt
Organism: Oncorhynchus tshawytscha (Chinook salmon)
Lineage: Eukaryota; Metazoa; Chordata; Actinopteri; Salmoniformes; Salmonidae
Source: Ensembl
GUGGGUGAGACGGGGUUCAGUGGAGUGGGGGAGACAGGGUUCAGUUGAGUGGGGGAGACAGGGUUCAGUGGAGUGGGGGAGACAGGGUUCAGUGGGUGUGGGGGAGACAGGGUUCAGUUGAGUGGGGGAGACAGGGUUCAGUGGAGUGGGGGAGACAGGGUUCAGUUGAGUGGGGGAGACAGGGUUCAGUGGAGUGGGGGAGACAGGGUUCAGUGGAGUAGGGGAGACAGGGUUCAGUGGAGUGGGGGAGACAGGGUUCAGUGGAGUUGGGGAGACAGGGUUCAGUGGAGUGGGGGAGACAGGGUUCAGUGGAGUGGGGGAGACAGGGUUCAGUGGAGUGGGUGAGACGGGGUUCAGUGGAGUGGGGGA